AAAUCAUAACUUACUGGGUGGGAGAGAUCAACUGUGACAGCCCACGAGAACGUCCAACUCCCUGUCAGCAUUUAAUGGAGCAUUUUCUUCAUUAUUUACUGCAAAUAUUCAACAAACAUUUAGAUUUAAAAACAAAAUAAUCAAAUAAAUAAAAUUUUAAGAAAAAUUGAUAUGUGCAUUUGAGGAAAAUAAUUCACAUCAAAAAUUUUGUGCCAUGAUGUAUGGCACCAUAAGAAUUAAGAAUUGAAAAAAAAUCCAAAAUUAUACCUCAUAAAAAAUGAUCCAAUAUUAUAAAAUUAUAAUUUGAUUUAUAUGACUCAAAAUCUUAAUUCAUAUAUUAUUCUUAUAUAUGGUAUAUAGGCUUUCCAUCAAUUUACAAUUUCAACCUAAAACACUUUUGACGAUAAUAAGCACAAUAUGUUAAGAAAUUUAUAAGAUAUUCAUAACAAUAUUAGCAAAUUAGGGAAAAAAUCAAUGAAUCGGCAAGAAUAACAAAUAAUACAAUAUUCAUAAUUGAACCAUACUAUGUUUAUUCAUAAUUCCAGUGACAUUGUGAUCGAACGAUGACGCAUGAUACGUAGAUGAAUUUAAUGUUUGAAAGAUUAUAUCAAAAUUUUGUUUAUAAUAUUUGGAAAAAUCAGAAAACAAGUUUACAGAGACAAGAGGAAG
This 669-nucleotide long non-coding RNA is filed under the name Daucus carota (carrot). Its description in RNAcentral is "long non-coding RNA (DCAR_LNC000614)". Lineage: Eukaryota; Viridiplantae; Streptophyta; Magnoliopsida; Apiales; Apiaceae. The record is from RNAcentral.